Molecule: long non-coding RNA, 1040 nt
Organism: Eubalaena glacialis (North Atlantic right whale)
Lineage: Eukaryota; Metazoa; Chordata; Mammalia; Artiodactyla; Balaenidae
Exons: 3
Source: RefSeq, a predicted model, not a curated record
GAUGGCGUCGCCGGCUGCCGGAAGCAAAGCGAGGAACAGAUGUUGUGUGAGCCCUGAGGUCUCCAGUCUUCCUGUUUCCCAUCUCGCCGGGCUCCUAUCUCAGCUGGUCUGUUUUCAGCUUCGAGAAAAUUCCUCAUCACUGCCCAGACGCAAGUUGUCCAUUAGGGUUGGAGCUUGGAUGGUGUGUGUGUAGUACUUGAAAUCCAGAGAGAGAGACACAGAGACAGAGAGAGACAGAGAAGGGGGCACGGCCUCCGUACUUAGGAGUCUUCAUCUUCAUUUUACCUGGAGCAUCAGAGAAUCAUGGCUUUAUUUCCAUCGUGAACCCUUUUGAAAUUCUGAGGGACAAACAUGUGAAGUGUACAAGCUAAGAAGAGAAGCCUCAGGAGAAACCAACCCUUCUGGCAUCUUGACCUUGGACUUCCAGCCUCCAGAACUGUGAAAAAAAAUACAUCUGUGUUGUUUAAGCGGGGAAAAAAAAAAAAAACUGGCUUAAAAUCUGGCUUGCAAAAUUACUGGAAAUGAGGUCUCCCAAGCCAGUGUGUGCUGGAUCCAGCAUACUACUGCCUCCACCCCAUGGCCAAUAGAAGCCCGUGGAAAGUUCUUCAGACCAGCUCUGAAGCCUUCCCCUGGCUGGUCUCUGAAGCAUCCACACUGCAGGCCCAGCCAGGAUGGCUGUCCUGUUGUCAGCCCUUAGAGUUCUGAGCAAGAUGGGAAGUUGCCAACUUAGGAAAGUAUCCUUUGUCAUGCACCAUCUCCUCCAAGGAAGCCGGGUUUGUCCUGUCUGAGACUGGACUGCUUCAGAAAGAGGAUUCAAAGAUACCCAAUUUUCAGCCUAUUCGAUACUUGAGAAAAUUCUACCAACUCUCACAAAGGGACGUUCCUGUGAAAGGAAAAGUGCUCGUAAGUCCAAAGAAAUCAGUGUGGGGAAUUCCGGUUUCCUUCAGGGAUAUUGAAGAGAAAUUCCAGAGGCCAAACCUAUUCUCUUGACUUACCGUCAGGGCAGCGGGGCGCUAUGGGUACACCCCCCCAGAACAAGA